Phthorimaea operculella (potato tuberworm) is the source of this 76-nucleotide non-coding RNA. Lineage: Eukaryota; Metazoa; Arthropoda; Insecta; Lepidoptera; Gelechiidae. The record is from the annotation of a GenBank genome assembly.
GCGCCCGUAGCUCAGUUGGCAGAGCGGUGGGAUGGUAGGUACCCCACGGUCCCGGGUUCAAGUUCCGGCGGUCGCU